GGGGAAGAAGAUUUUGACUGUAAUCUCUGAUCAGACUUAGAAUCUGAAAUUACUUAUGAAUUGUCUACAUCCUAUGACCAGAGAGUUCAUCCACAAUGGCUACCACCUAUCGAACUAUUUGUUAGACUGGUUGAAUCAAAACCCAAACCAUCGAUUGAGGAAGCACCAAAACUAGAACUUAAAAUACUCCCUCAGCACAUCGAGUAUAU
RNAcentral lists this long non-coding RNA (209 nucleotides) under Elaeis guineensis (African oil palm). Its description in RNAcentral is "long non-coding RNA (EGUI_LNC041380)". Lineage: Eukaryota; Viridiplantae; Streptophyta; Magnoliopsida; Arecales; Arecaceae. The record is from RNAcentral.